Molecule: ribosomal RNA, 564 nt
Filed under: uncultured bacterium
Lineage: Bacteria
Description: bacterial SSU rRNA
Rfam family: Bacterial small subunit ribosomal RNA
Source: RNAcentral
GAUGCAACGCGAAGAACCUUACCUAGGUUUGACAUCCACGGAACCCUCCCGAAAAGGAGGGGUGCCCUUCGGGGAGCCGUGUGACAGGUGCUGCAUGGCUGUCGACAGCUCGUGUCGUGAGAUGUUGGGUUAAGUCCCGCAACGAGCGCAACCCCUAUGGAUAGUUGCCAGCAAGUAAUGUUGGGCACUCUAUUCAGACUGCCCGGGUUAACCGGGAGGAAGGUGGGGACGACGUCAAGUCAUCAUGGCCCUUACGCCUAGGGCUACACACGUACUACAAUGGCACGCACAAAGGGGAGCGAGACCGCGAGGUGGAGCCAAUCCCAAAAAACGUGUCCCAGUCCGGAUUGCAGUCUGCAACUCGACUGCAUGAAGUUGGAAUCGCUAGUAAUUCGAGAUCAGCAUGCUCGGGUGAGUGCGUUCCCGGGCCUUGUACACACCGCCCGUCACACCACGAAAGUCGGUUUUACCCGAAGCCGGUGAGCCAACCAGCAAUGGAGGCAGCCGUCUACGGUAGGGCCGAUGAUUGGGGUGAAGUCGUAACAAGGUAGCCGUAGGGGAACC